RNAcentral lists this long non-coding RNA (286 nucleotides) under Astyanax mexicanus (Mexican tetra). Its description in RNAcentral is "lncRNA (ENSAMXG00005010136.1)". The record is from RNAcentral. Lineage: Eukaryota; Metazoa; Chordata; Actinopteri; Characiformes; Acestrorhamphidae.
AAUGAAGAAGAUCCUGCUGGUGACUCUGCUUCUCGCUGGGAUGAUGAUGAGUGGUUAUGCCCUACGGUGUAACUCCUUCCCUGGCUCACCAGCCAUUGAAAACUGUUCCCCUGAAAGAGAUGCCUGCUUCAGUAGAAAAAACCUUGGUUUUGGUAAGUGUCUUCCUACUCUAUAUUAAAAAAAUCUGAUAAAAAAAAAAUAUGAAUAGCACAACUUGCUCUGAUUAAUCGCAAUUAAAUUUUAAAGUUAAAAUAAAAAACAGGAAGGAAAGAUUUUUCCUUAAAUU